CACAUCAAUAAUUUUCAAACUUUAGUGUGCAUCAGAAUUAACUGGAUGGCCUUUGCUAAACACCUUCAGUAGGUCUGGGGUAGGACUCAAUAAUUUGCUUAUCUAUGUUCUCAGGUGACACUAAUGCUGUUCUAGUAACCACGCUGGACUUAAUCAGUGUUUUUAAAACUGAAUUGUAACCUGUUAAUGGAUCUGUGAAUCAGUUUAAUGGGUUGCACCAACAUUUUGAAAGUAAAAUGAUAAAACAUGAGAGUAUAACAUAGUAUAUCAUGUCAUGAUAUGAAACUGUUUCAGGUGUUUGCAAACAGCUAUGUACUCAAUCACAUACUUUUAGAAUGGGGACUCAGGCAGAAUAGUAUGACAGCCUAUGCUGUAUUUACUCUUGAGGGUGCAGUCUUAGUGAUUUGGAGCACAGACUAAAGACAGAAUGCCUGAGCAUUAUUUUACUGUCUAGUAAGUACUUUCUAUUAUAGUUUUAGCAAAGGACAUGCUUCACAUUUCUACUUAAUUUUAUAAUUGAUUUUAAUUGCUUUGUAAUACUUUGAUUCUGUUUAUGCAGUAUUUUAAUGUGUUUUUUUCUAGAGAUUAGAUGGAUCAAUAAAAGGAGAACUGAGGAAACAAGCUCUAGAUCAUUUUAAUGCUGAGGGAUCAGAGGAUUUUUGCUUUUUGCUGUCCACAAGAGCUGGAGGUCUAGGGAUUAAUUUAGCCUCUGCUGACACUGUUGUUAUAUUUGAUUCCGAUUGGAAUCCACAGAAUGA
This 758-nucleotide long non-coding RNA is filed under the name Homo sapiens (human). RNAcentral's name for it is "non-protein coding lnc-RIOK2-8:2". Lineage: Eukaryota; Metazoa; Chordata; Mammalia; Primates; Hominidae. The record is from RNAcentral.